This 7007-nucleotide long non-coding RNA is filed under the name Salvia miltiorrhiza (redroot sage). Its description in RNAcentral is "long non-coding RNA (SMIL_LNC008231)". The record is from RNAcentral. Lineage: Eukaryota; Viridiplantae; Streptophyta; Magnoliopsida; Lamiales; Lamiaceae.
UGGAGAAAGUGAGGGUAGGUGAGGGGCUUAAUCUGGUUUAUUUGUUAGUUAAAACGGAAUAUUACAAAACAAAUAGUUUCCCGUUUCCAUCACAACGGACUGAUGCAGAUAUUAGCACAUGAUACAAAGAAGAAUAAAAGAGUUUGUUUAAGCCCAUCAUCAGCUGCCUCUACACCAAUCACUGCCUCAAGUUCUCCACAAUGUAGGACGCGUAAAGAUCCCUGCAACCCACCAAAUACGGGUAAAUAUAAUCUUCAUUUUCGAGAUAUAUAAUAUAAAUUAUUUUCAUACUCACAUUGAGUAUUUGAUAGCAUCAAUUGCUGUUUCAGCAGGGAGGAAGUCUUCCACUGCAACUGACUUGUUCUCAUUCUUUUUAUCUGUUUCAUUACAAGUCAUGGAAACUACUUGCUUAUUUGCAAUUGCACACCCUAUAAGCAGUUAAUACUUUGGAAAGGAUACAGUCCUCAAAGAAGCGGCGAAUUUCAGCUAGACGGUGAGGAGGGAGCUCGUUUAUGUCCUGAUAAUGGCGGAACUCAGGGUCGUCAGCGCAUACUGCAAUGAUUUUGUCGUCCCUCUCGCCCUGUCGAAUGGUUCUUCAAUGAUAAGUUUGAUGUAUUAAUAAGCUACUGAAAGAAAGAGAUAGUUACCUGAUCUAUCAUUGGCAUCAAGCCAAUGGCACGAGCACGGAGGUAAGUACCGGGAAGAACAGGUUCCUGCGUACGAAAAAGAAACAAGUAUUAACAGUUUCACAACUCAAUAUAGCAAUCUCACAGCAAAUAAGAAGUUGGAAGCUGGAACCUGCAUCAGCACCAAAACAUCGAUGGGGUCAUUGUCUUCACAAAGGGUUCGUGGAACAAAACCAUAGUUGUGUGGAUAUACAACGGACGAGUAGAGAACUCUAUCCACCUGUAAAAUCAUCAGUUGUAUCCUAAAUUGGAGCAAAGCAUAAAACCUGACUUUAUCAAGAAUUAAGCGACACGAGAGGACAUUNAUUUUCCCAUGGGAUUUUUACGGAGAGGUUUUUAACAAGGCAUGAACAUCUAUACACUAACAUCAUAUGGAAUCUUGUGAUAUUUGUCUUGGUGAUAGUGCCAAUACACAUAUUAUUCUUCAAAAGAAGAAGUAUUUCCUUAAGUUGACAUUAGCUGAGGAUAAUGUUAACACAAUAUCAGGUGCAUCAAACAUCAUUGAAGGCUCCGGAAGAGCUUGUAUCAUUUUGUCAAAUGAUACUAAACUAGAUAUUGAAAAUGCCCUGUACUCUAGUAAGUUCAAAAGGAACUUACUAAGUUUCAAGAAUGUCCGUAAUAAUGGAUACCACAUCGAGACAAUUGUGUGGAAGGUAAAAAUGAAUAUCUUUGCAUAAAUUCAUUUGUUUCAGGCUAUAAGCUGACAAAAAUAAAAAUUAGCAACACUUCCUUCUGGAACGUAUUACACAUUUAUAGAAGCAAUUGAGACAAACCAUGUCAUGAACGUGAAGUUCAAUGACACAAAAGCUUUAAGCUUUGGCAUGAUAGGUUUGGACAUCCUGGAGCAACUAUAAUACGCCAAUAAUCAAUAAUUUAUAUGGGCACAACAUAAAUAAUCAAAAGAUUCUUUCUACAAUGAAUGACAUGUGAUGCUUGUGCGCAAGGCAAGUUAGUCAUUAGACCUUCAUAUACGAAGGAUAAUACUGAAUCUCCAUCUUUCUUAGAAAGAAUUCAAGGAGACAUUUGUGGACUUAUACAUCCACCUUGUGGACCUUUUCGAUACUUUAUGGUAUUGAUUGAUACUUUUUCUAGAUGGUCACAUGUAUGCUUGCUUUCUACUAGAAAUGCAACAUUUGCUAGACUACUUGCUCAAAUCACUAGUGAGUUUACGUCUCAAGCAUUUGAAAACUACUUUAUGGCUAUUGAAAUUGAGAUUGAAUAUCCAGUAGCUUGUGUCCAUACUCAAAAUGGUUUAGCAGAAUCAUUGAUUAAACGUCUUCAAAUUAUUGCUAGACCAUUACUUAUGAAAUCAAAACUCCCAACUAUUGUUUGGGGUCAUGCCAUAUUACAUGCUGCAACAUUAGUUCGACAUAAGCCAAUCAUGAAUACUUCCCAAUGCAAAUUAUUUUUUGCUGAGAACCUGAUGUUUCUCACUUACGAACUUUUGGUUGCGCGGUUUAAGUCCCAAUUGCACCCCCCACAACGAACAAAAAUGGGUCCCCAACAAAGACUUGGGAUAUAUGUUGGAUUUGAUUCACCUUCGGUUAUAAGGUAUAUAGAACCUUUAACAAGUGAUUUAUUUACUGCAAGUUUUGCAGAUUGUCAUUUUGACGAAAUGACAUUUCCAACAUUAUGAGUAACAAAUCUACAUCCAGAAUGAGAAAAACUUAUCACAUUUUGAUUCUAGAACAAAUCAAUGUGAACAAGAAAUUGAAAAGAUCAUUCAUUUGCAAAAGAUUGCAAAUCAAAUUUCUGAUGCUUUUGUAGAUACAAGAAAAGUGACACAAUCUCACAUACAUGCUGCAAAUACUCCAACUAAAAUUGAUGUCCCUGAAGGACAUAUAGCUUUGGCAGCAAAUGAGUCUAAAAUUCGUCAAAAACAUGGUCGACCAGUUGGUUCCAAAGAUUCUAUGCCUAGAAAAAGAAAGGGGCAAGAUGGAAACCAAACAAUGACGAAAAUGACUAAUCAACCAAUGAAAGCGAUGUAAUUCCUAAAGAAUUACAAGUAUCUGAAAAUCAUGAGAUCUCAAUAAAUUAUUUACAUCAGAUACUAGAGAGAGAAAAUAUCAUUGUUGAUGAUAUAUUUGCCUUUCAUAUAGCUCUUCAUGUUUUAAAUGAGGAUCCUCAACUAAAAUCUGUUGCAGAAUGCAAACAGAGACUUGAUUGGCCAAAGUGAAAAGAAGCUAUAGAAAGGGAAUUAAAUUCCUGUGAUAACCGGAAAGUAUUUGAAUAUAUAGCCAUAACUCCGGAAUCUAAAAUCCAUGUUGGAUAUAGAUGGAUUUUUGUUAGAAAGAGAAACGAGAAAAAUGAAGUUACGAGAUAUAGAGCAAGACUCGUAGCACAAGGUUUCUCACAAAAACCAGGAAUUGAUUAUGAGGAAACAUACUCUCCAGUAAUGGACGCUAUUACUUUUAGAUUUUUGAUUAGUCUGGCUGUGUCACAAAGGCUUGAUAUGCGCCUUAUGGAUGUAGUAACUGCUUAUCUAUAUGAGUCAUUAGAUAAUGACAUAUAUAUGAAAAUUCCUGAAGGAUUUAAAAAAUGCCUGAAGGAUUGCAGUCAAAACCCAAAAGUAUGUAUUCAAUUAAACUGCAAAAAUCGUUGUAUGGGUUGAAAAAGUCUAGUCGUAUGUGGUACAAUAGACUGAGCGCGAGUAUCUUUUGAAAGAGGAUACAAGAAUAAAGAUAUAUGCCCUUGUGUUUUCAUUAAGAAAACCGAAAGUGGAUUUGCAAUCAUAGCAGUUUAUGUUGAUGAUUUAAAUUUAAUUGGGACUCCUGAAGAGCUCAAUAAAACUGCUGAAUAUUUGAAGAAAGAAUUGAGAUGAAAGAUUUGGGAAAGACAAAGUUUUGUCUUGGUUUGCAAAUGGAACAUAUCCGUGGAGGAACGUUUAUCCAUCAAUCCACAUACACAGAAAAAGUGUUAAAACGCUUUUACAUGGAUAAUGCACAUCCAUUAGCAUCACCAAUGGUCGUUAGAUCUCUUGAUACUAAGAAAGAUCCAUUUCGACCAAUUGAAGAGGGUGAAACAAUACUUGGUCCUGAAGUACCAUAUCUAAGUGCAAUUGGAGCGUUGACUUAUCUGGCUAAUAAUACUAGACCAGAUAUAACUUUUUCUGUCAAUCUUCUAGCAAGAUUUAGCACUGCACCCACUUUGAGACAUUGGAAUGGUGUUAAGCACAUUCUACGUUAUCUAAAGGGUACCAUUGAACUUGGAUUAUAUUAUCAAGAAAAUUCUGAUAAUACUCUAGUGGGGUACUCGGAUGCAGGAUUUUUAUCCGAUCCACAUGAAGCUAAGUCACAAACUAGAUAUGUUUUCACAUGUGGUAGAACUGCAAUAUCAUGGAAGUCUGUGAAGCAAACCUUGACUGCAACAUCCUCAAAUCAUUCUGAAAUCAUUGCAAUCCACGAAACAAGUCGAGAAUGUGUAUGGCUGAGAAAUGUGACGAGUCAUAUCCAAGAGUCGUGUGGGUUAGCUUUAUCAAAGGCCAAACCAACUAUUUUAUAUUAAGAUAAUGUUGUUUGCAUCGCGCAACUCAAGGAAGGAUACAUUAAAGGCGAUAGGACGAAGCAUAUUUCUCCCAAGCUCUUCUACACACACGACCUUCAAAAGGGUGGCGAUAUCGAUGUGCAACAAAUUCGCUCAAGUGAAAAUCUGGCGGACUUAUUCACCAAGGUAUUACCAACAUCGACAUUCAGAAAGUUGGUACAAGAGAUCGGCAUGUGUCGACUCAAAGAUAUUCAAUGAUCUCAAGUACACGGGAAGCAGUUGUACUCUUUUUCCUUCGACUAGCUUAAUACAUAUUCUCUUCUCUAUUCUCUCGUUUCUCUCUAGUUUAUAACACACUCCAAUUAUUUUUCCCCUUUUUCUUUCUUAUUAUAAAAUUGCAUAUAAAGAGGUCGUAUUGUGUAUAAUUGGAUGUACCGUACAAUCGGAUUGCACACUCACUUGGACCUUGACCCGCACCUGAUCUGAACCCGUAUAUUGACCCGAACCUUAUAAAUAAUACUCCUUCCGUCCACCAAAGGUAUGCCACAAUUUCCUUUUUCGUCCGUCCACAAAUAAAUAUGUCACAUCCAUUUUUAGUAGUAGGGUCCACAUCAUUCCACUCACAUUUAAAGUGAGACCCUUACUCCACUACUAACUUCACUCACAUUUUAUUAAAACUUGUGCCGAAAGUAAAGUGACAUAUCUUUGGUGGACGGAUGGAGUACUAAUUUGGGUGCAGAUCAACCCGAUUGUACCCAAAUUUUUGUGAUAUAUAAAUAUACACACAUAUAGUUUAUAAGCUAUAAAAUCAUAGUAAUUUAUAAGCUAUAAAAUCACUAUCAAAUUGUCGUCUAAAAAAAACAGUACAAUAUUGCUUAUCCCUGAAUUAUACUAAAUUGUUAUUUCAUAAUUAUGGUGAAAUUAUUUUUAUCAAAUGGCAUUAUGAUUUUUAGUAAUUGAAUUAAAUUUGAGUUUCAUGUUUUAGUAGGCUCGUAAUGCGCUAUAUAAUAGAGAAAUGGAGCCAAAAUUGGAGAAAGUGAGGGUAGGUGAGGGGCUUAAUCUGGUUUAUUUGUUAGUUAAAACGGAAUAUUACAAAACAAAUAGUUUCCCGUUUCCAUCACAACGGACUGAUGCAGAUUGAUACAAAGAAGAAUAAAAGAGUUUGUUUAAGCCCAUCAUCAGCUGCCUCUACACCAAUCACUGCCUCAAGUUCUCCACAAUGUAGGACGCGUAAAGAUCCCUGCAACCCACCAAAUACGGGUAAAUAUAAUCUUCAUUUUCGAGAUAUAUAAUAUAAAUGAUUUUCAUACUCACAUUGAGUAUUUGAUAGCAUCAAUUGCUGUUUCAGCAGGGAGGAAGUCUUCCACUGCAACUGACUUGUUCUCAUUCUUUUUAUCUGUUUCAUUACAAGUCAUGGAAACUACUUGCUUAUUUGCAAUUGCACACCCUAUAAGCAGUUAAUACUUUGGAAAGGAUACAGUCCUCAAAGAAGCGGCGAAUUUCAGCUAGACGGUGAGGAGGGAGCUCGUUUAUGUCCUGAUAAUGGCGGAACUCAGGGUCGUCAGCGCAUACUGCAAUGAUUUUGUCGUCCCUCUCGCCCUGUCGAAUGGUUCUUCAAUGAUAAGUUCGAUGUAUUAAUAAGCUACUGAAAGAAAGAGAUAGUUACCUGAUCUAUCAUUGGCAUCAAGCCAAUGGCACGAGCACGGAGGUAAGUACCGGGAAGAACAGGUUCCUGCGUACGAAAAAGAAACAAGUAUUAACAGUUUCACAACUCAAUAUAGCAAUCUCACAGCAAAUAAGAAGUUGGAAGCUGGAACCUGCAUCAGCACCAAAACAUCGAUGGGGUCAUUGUCUUCACAAAGGGUUCGUGGAACAAAACCAUAGUUGUGUGGAUAUACAACGGACGAGUAGAGAACUCUAUCCACCUGUAAAAUCAUCAGUUGUUCCUAAAUUGGAGCAAAGCAUAAAACCUGACUUUAUCAAGAAUUAAGCGACACGAGAGGACAUUGUUGUGUGGUAGAUUUCCUAUUCUAGUAGAUCAAGGUUUGUUCUAGCUAGUCUAUAUGCACCUCUUUGUUGCUAUUCUANGAACCUUAUAAAUAAUACUCCUUCCGUCCACCAAAGGUAUGCCACAAUUUCCUUUUUCGUCCGUCCACAAAUAAAUAUGUCACAUCCAUUUUUAGUAGUAGGGUCCACAUCAUUCCACUCACAUUUAAAGUGAGACCCUUACUCCACUACUAACUUCACUCACAUUUUAUUAAAACUUGUGCCGAAAGUAAAGUGACAUAUCUUUGGUGGACGGAUGGAGUACUAAUUUGGGUGCAGAUCAACCCGAUUGUACCCAAAUUUUUGUGAUAUAUAAAUAUACACACAUAUAGUUUAUAAGCUAUAAAAUCAUAGUAAUUUAUAAGCUAUAAAAUCACUAUCAAAUUGUCGUCUAAAAAAAACAGUACAAUAUUGCUUAUCCCUGAAUUAUACUAAAUUGUUAUUUCAUAAUUAUGGUGAAAUUAUUUUUAUCAAAUGGCAUUAUGAUUUUUAGUAAUUGAAUUAAAUUUGAGUUUCAUGUUUUAGUAGGCUCGUAAUGCGCUAUAUAAUAGAGAAAUGAGCCAAAAUUGGAGAAAGUGAGGGUAGGUGAGGGGCUUAAUCUGGUUUAAUUUGUUAGUUAAAACGGAAUAAUUACAAAACAAAUAGUUUACCCGUUUCCAUCACAACGGACUGAUGCAGAUAUUAGCACAUGAUACAAAGAAGAAUAAAAGAGUUUGUUUAAGCCCAUCAUCAGCUGCCUCUACACCAAUCACUGCCUCAAGUUCUCCACAAUGUAGGACGCGUAAAGAUCCC